CUACGGGAGGCAGCAGUGGGGAAUUUUCGUCAAUGGGCGCAAGCCUGAACGAGCAAUGCCGCGUGAACGAGGAAGGUCUUCGGAUCGUAAAGUUCUGUUGAAGGGGAAAAAGAGCGGAGAGAGGAAAUGGUCUCCGAUUGAUAUUACCCUUCGAGGAAGUCACGGCUAACUACGUGCCAGCAGCCGCGGUAAUACGUAGGUGGCGAGCGUUAUCCGGAAUGAUUGGGCGUAAAGGGUGCGUAGGCGGCCUGCUAAGUCUGGAGUGAAAGGUACCGGCUCAACCGGUACAGGCUCUGGAAACUGGG
RNAcentral lists this ribosomal RNA (305 nucleotides) under uncultured bacterium. Its description in RNAcentral is "bacterial SSU rRNA". It matches the Rfam family "Bacterial small subunit ribosomal RNA", at positions 339 to 637 of the family's 1533-position model. The record is from RNAcentral.